This is a long non-coding RNA of Anas platyrhynchos (mallard), 518 nucleotides long. RefSeq lists it as uncharacterized. Lineage: Eukaryota; Metazoa; Chordata; Aves; Anseriformes; Anatidae. The record is from RefSeq and is a predicted model, not a curated record.
GUGCCGUCUGUGUUUGGCCAGGGAGGUUGGGAGAGGACGCGACGCCUGCCUAUAAAUACAGCAGGAGCGUAAACACCGGGGAGGGAGCAAACAGACUGGAGGUGAAGGGCGAUGUCAGCAGAAAAUCCAGCAGCUCCGAACUGGGAGAGACACAUCCAGGGGGAGCUGAGAGCCUGCCUCUGGGGUCCUGGGGCACUGGGACUCCGGGGAGAGCUGGGUCCCCAAAGUGAAGAUGAAAAGCCUGCUUCUCGUCGGCUGGAUUUCUGGCUCCGGUGUGCACCCCCUUAGAUUUAUCAGAAAUACUUCAGCAGAUAGGAGGAGGAGAGCCCUGGAGGCUGACAGAGCAGGACUGUCCUCAUGGCACCUGUGCUGCAUCCCCCAGGUGAAGCUGCAAAGGGCACCAGGGUCUGAGACACGUCUCCAGCCAGCUCCGAGCAGCAACCGGGGAGUCUGCGAAUCCGGCAUCCAGCCCGGAAUAUUGUGUGCACCAUCUCAGUGCAGCUCCGUAAUUAAAAGAC